GACGAACGCUGGCGGCGUGCUUAACACAUGCAAGUCGAGCGGUAAGGCCCUUUCGGGGGUACACGAGCGGCGAACGGGUGAGUAACACGUGGGUGACCUGCCCUCAGCUCUGGGAUAAGCCUGGGAAACCGGGUCUAAUACCGGAUAUGACUCCAUGACGCAUGUUGUGGGGUGGAAAGCCUUGUGCGGCUGAGGAUGGGCCCGCGGCCUAUCAGCUUGUUGGUGGGGGNGAU
This 233-nucleotide ribosomal RNA is filed under the name uncultured bacterium. RNAcentral describes it as "partial 16S ribosomal RNA". It matches the Rfam family "Bacterial small subunit ribosomal RNA", at positions 28 to 262 of the family's 1533-position model. The record is from RNAcentral.